Molecule: ribosomal RNA, 521 nt
Filed under: uncultured bacterium
Lineage: Bacteria
Description: bacterial SSU rRNA
Rfam family: Bacterial small subunit ribosomal RNA
Source: RNAcentral
CCAGAGAACUUAGCAGAGAUGCUUUGGUGCCUUCGGGAACUCUGAGACAGGUGCUGCAUGGCUGUCGUCAGCUCGUGUUGUGAAAUGUUGGGUUAAGUCCCGCAACGAGCGCAACCCUUAUCCUUUGUUGCCAGCGGCUUGGCCGGGAACUCAAAGGAGACUGCCGGUGAUAAACCGGAGGAAGGUGGGGAUGACGUCAAGUCAUCAUGGCCCUUACGGCCAGGGCUACACACGUGCUACAAUGGCGCAUACAAAGAGAAGCGACCUCGCGAGAGCAAGCGGACCUCAUAAAGUGCGUCGUAGUCCGGAUUGGAGUCUGCAACUCGACUCCAUGAAGUCGGAAUCGCUAGUAAUCGUAGAUCAGAAUGCUACGGUGAAUACGUUCCCGGGCCUUGUACACACCGCCCGUCACACCAUGGGAGUGGGUUGCAAAAGAAGUAGGUAGCUUAACCUUCGGGAGGGCGCUUACCACUUUGUGAUUCAUGACUGGGGUGAAGUCGUAACAAGGUAAGCGUAGUGCU